This 533-nucleotide ribosomal RNA is filed under the name uncultured bacterium. RNAcentral's name for it is "bacterial SSU rRNA". It matches the Rfam family "Archaeal small subunit ribosomal RNA", at positions 725 to 1257 of the family's 1478-position model. The record is from RNAcentral.
AGAAAAUAGAUACCCCGGUAGUCCCAGCCGUAAACGAUGCUCGCUAGGUGUCAGGCAUGGCGCGACCGUGUCUGGUGCCGCAGGGAAGCCGUGAAGCGAGCCACCUGGGAAGUACGGCCGCAAGGCUGAAACUUAAAGGAAUUGGCGGGGGAGCACAACAACGGGUGGAGCCUGCGGUUUAAUUGGACUCAACGCCGGACAACUCACCGGGGGCGACAGCAAUAUGUAGGCCAGGCUGAAGACCUUGCCUGAAUCGCUGAGAGGAGGUGCAUGGCCGUCGCCAGUUCGUACUGUGAAGCAUCCUGUUAAGUCAGGCAACGAGCGAGACCCGUGCCCACUGUUACCAGCAUGUCCUCCGGGACGAUGGGUACUCUGUGGGGACCGCCGAUGUUAAAUCGGAGGAAGGUGCGGGCCACGGUAGGUCAGUAUGCCCCGAAUCUCCCGGGCUACACGCGGGCUACAAUGGAUGGGACAAUGGGUCCUCCCCUGAAAAGGGCUGGUAAUCUCACAAACCCAUUCGUAGUUCGGAUCGA